RNAcentral lists this ribosomal RNA (979 nucleotides) under Vibrio fluvialis. Its description in RNAcentral is "bacterial SSU rRNA". It matches the Rfam family "Bacterial small subunit ribosomal RNA", at positions 488 to 1467 of the family's 1533-position model. The record is from RNAcentral. Lineage: Bacteria; Pseudomonadati; Pseudomonadota; Gammaproteobacteria; Vibrionales; Vibrionaceae.
AGCACCGGCUAACUCCGUGCCAGCAGCCGCGGUAAUACGGAGGGUGCGAGCGUUAAUCGGAAUUACUGGGCGUAAAGCGCAUGCAGGUGGUUUGUUAAGUCAGAUGUGAAAGCCCGGGGCUCAACCUCGGAAUUGCAUUUGAAACUGGCAGGCUAGAGUACUGUAGAGGGGGGUAGAAUUUCAGGUGUAGCGGUGAAAUGCGUAGAGAUCUGAAGGAAUACCGGUGGCGAAGGCGGCCCCCUGGACAGAUACUGACACUCAGAUGCGAAAGCGUGGGGAGCAAACAGGAUUAGAUACCCUGGUAGUCCACGCCGUAAACGAUGUCUACUUGGAGGUUGUGGCCUUGAGCCGUGGCUUUCGGAGCUAACGCGUUAAGUAGACCGCCUGGGGAGUACGGUCGCAAGAUUAAAACUCAAAUGAAUUGACGGGGGCCCGCACAAGCGGUGGAGCAUGUGGUUUAAUUCGAUGCAACGCGAAGAACCUUACCUACUCUUGACAUCCAGAGAACUUAGCAGAGAUGCUUUGGUGCCUUCGGGAACUCUGAGACAGGUGCUGCAUGGCUGUCGUCAGCUCGUGUUGUGAAAUGUUGGGUUAAGUCCCGCAACGAGCGCAACCCUUAUCCUUGUUUGCCAGCGAGUAAUGUCGGGAACUCCAGGGAGACUGCCGGUGAUAAACCGGAGGAAGGUGGGGACGACGUCAAGUCAUCAUGGCCCUUACGAGUAGGGCUACACACGUGCUACAAUGGCGCAUACAGAGGGCGGCCAACUCGCGAGAGUGAGCGAAUCCCAAAAAGUGCGUCGUAGUCCGGAUUGGAGUCUGCAACUCGACUCCAUGAAGUCGGAAUCGCUAGUAAUCGUGAAUCAGAAUGUCACGGUGAAUACGUUCCCGGGCCUUGUACACACCGCCCGUCACACCAUGGGAGUGGGCUGCAAAAGAAGCAGGUAGUUUAACCUUCGGGAGGACGCUUGCCACUUUGUGG